AUCGUCUACAUCUGCAAGACAGUGUGUGUAAAUAUUAGCCUUGUCUUCCACUUGCUAGGGUUUUCCUCGCUGCGUCCGCCCGUGUGUAAGCCAUCAUGCCAUGGUGGACAAUGAUAACGAAGACUCAAUGGCGCCACAAUCGGUCUGACGCGUAAGGAGCCAGUGUCUUUCCUGACUAAUCUUCGAGUGCAAUAAGUGUGAAGCAGGAGAGUGCGUCGCAGGAGGCCUGUGUGGUGCGGCGUGAGAGUGUGAGGCGUAGAACCUUGUUCCUCACACUCGGCUCUCACUUGCUUCUCCCCCGGCGCCUGCCGGAGGCACGUGACCUGCCCUUAAAACGGCUAAAUGUCAGUGUAAGACAUUUACUGCUCGAGCUCAGUCUGGCCGCCGAUUAGUGGCAGGAGAAUAUGUAUAUAUGUCGCCGCCGCGACCUUGAUUUCGCCGCGGAAAAGGUGUCUCUUGUCAAGUGAGUGGAACGUGUUCUAACGAAUUACCAGGAACCGUGUCCUGCGACCACCCUCCUCUUGAGCACGGCGGUGGAGGAAGCCCAUCAGCGCGAGGCAUGCCUCCCCUGAAGGCGGCAGUGUGAGGACUUGCGCCCCUGCCCCCUCAGUCAGUGAGCGACGGCGAGGAAUUAGGCGCAUCUAUGAGUGAGUGGUGGAGGUCGUGGCUGCCAGGUGACCCUAGCGUCCUGCAAUGCCCCACCGCCCUCCUCCUCACUGGGGGCGUUGUGCUCUUCUGCAUCGCCGCCUACGUGAUGACAAGGCCCUACUUGUACUCUCACCUCUUCUACGACAACACAGAAACUGAGCGGCGCAUCAAACCAAACAAUCCAGAGUUCAACGCGCAGUUUAAUUAUGCCAAAAACUACAUCAAGACCUCCAAGUACACGCUGCUGAACUUCAUCCCGUACAACCUGUUCGAGCAGUUCCAGCGGCUGGCCAACUUCUACUUCCUGUGCCUGCUGGUGCUGCAGCUGAUCCCCGUCAUCUCGUCGCUCACGCCCGUCACCACCGCCGUCCCCCUCAUCGGCGUGCUCAUGGUCACGGGCAUCAAGGACGCAUACGAUGACUUCCAACGCCACCGCAGUGAUAACCAAGUGAACAGGAGAAAGUCCUACGUGUUGAGGAAUGGCCAAUUGGCAGAAGAGAUGUGGAGUAAGGUGGAAGUGGGCGAUGUGAUCCGGAUGGAGAAUAAUCAGUUUGUGGCAGCCGAUGUCUUGCUGCUGUCCACGUCUGAACCCAACGGCCUUUGCUAUAUUGAAACAUCGGAGUUGGACGGGGAGACCAACCUGAAGUCCAAGCAGUGUCUGCCGGAGACGGAGGACUUCGGGCAAGAUGUUGGCCGCAUCGGGUCAUUUCAGGGUGAAAUUCGAUGCGAACCCCCGAACAACCAGCUUAAUAAGUUCGAUGGAACCUUGUACUGGGAUAACCAAGCGCAUUCUUUGGACAACGACAAGAUUCUGCUGCGUGGUUGCAUCCUCCGGAACACUCAGUGGUGCUACGGCGUGGUCAUCUUCGCCGGCAAGGACACCAAACUCAUGAUGAAUUCUGGGAAGACAAAGUUCAAACGCACAAGUAUUGAUAGAUUGUUAAACUUCAUUAUUUUAGGGAUUGUAUUUUUUCUGCUUUCUAUGUGCCUAUUUUGCACUGUAGCCUGUGGAAUAUGGGAGACAUUGACAGGUCAGCACUUCAGAAUUUACCUGCCAUGGGAUAGUCUUGUACCGCCAGAGCCAGCUGGUGGUGCUGCUGUGAUAGCCCUCCUGGUCUUUUUCUCAUAUGCAAUUGUCCUGAACACCGUUGUGCCUAUUUCUCUAUAUGUUAGUGUGGAAGUAAUUCGAUUAUGUCAGAGCUUCCUCAUCAAUUGGGAUGUUGCCCUUUGUUAUGCUCCUACUGGGGUGCAUGCAAAAGCACGCACAACCACCCUGAAUGAGGAGCUUGGCCAGAUUGAAUAUAUUUUCUCAGACAAGACUGGAACUUUAACACAGAAUAUUAUGACAUUCAACAAAUGCUCUAUAGCAGGAAGAUCAUUUGGAGAUAUAAUAGAUCCAAGAACAGGUGAAAGUUUGGAAAUUAAUGAGUCAGGAACUUGGGUCAGAAAGAAAACGAAGAAGUCAUCAAGCAAGAGAAAUGCCAACCUGAGAACAUCACCUGAAGCCACAGUGGACCUCAUUGGUCCCUUAGAUGAGACAGAGGUCAACCUGCUGAGCGACGAAGAGUACCGACAGGUAGAUGCUUGGGCUCGGCAAAGUCCAUCGACCCCUGAGUUCUGUCGAAGUGAUUUUAAUGGCACGGGACAGCUGGGCCAAUUCCCUGGCAGCCUUGGCAGGGAGAUGGAGCAGAGCUGUUCAAUUGAUUUACUUGAUCUCUCUUCUUCAGAUUCCGAAUCAAGCCAACAAAAGCCAUACACAAGAUCAGUGGAUUUGUCACACAACCCAUACCAUGAGUCAAGCUUCAAGUUUUAUGACCAUGCACUGACAGAUGCUCUAGAUGCUAAUGAUCCCAGCUGUGAGCUCUUCUUUCGACUCCUUGCACUUUGUCACACUGUGAUGUCAGAGGAUAACAAUGGAAAAUUGGAAUACCAAGCACAGUCACCAGAUGAGGCAGCGUUGGUCUCAGCUGCUCGCAACUUUGGUUUUGUUUUCCUUUCACGCACGCCAAAUAGUAUUACCAUAUCAGCAAAAGGAACUGAAGAAGUAUAUGAGCUGCUUUGUAUCCUUGACUUUAAUAAUGUCAGGAAAAGAAUGUCGGUAAUUCUCAAGAGAGAUGGUAAAAUACGUCUAUAUUGUAAAGGUGCUGACUCCAUCAUAUAUGAAAGACUAAAAGAUGGACAAGAAAGUUUGAAAUAUCACACUCAGGAGCAUCUAAAUAAAUUUGCAGGGGAAGGUUUGCGAACACUAUGCCUUGCGUACAAGGAUUUAGAUGGAGAAUAUUUUCAAGAUUGGAAAGCUCGGCAUCAUGAAGCUGCCAUUUCUCUGGACAGGCGAGAGGAGAAAUUGGAUGCUAUUUAUGAAGAGAUUGAAAAGGAUCUUAUUCUCUUGGGAGCUACAGCUAUUGAGGACAAACUGCAGGAUGGGGUGCCUCAAACCAUAGCCAAUCUUGCAGUUGCUGGCAUUAAGAUCUGGGUGCUUACAGGUGACAAACAGGAAACGGCAAUUAAUAUUGGUUAUUCCUGCCAGUUGUUGACAGAUGAUAUGCUUGAUAUCUUCAUCAUUGAUGCCCACACUGCCUCCGAAGUUGAAGAUCAGCUCAAGAAAUAUCGUGAAGAGAUUCGCAAUGUUAAUGCCACAAGUCAACCUCAGACAAAUCUAUCAGUUGUCACAUUCAGCGAUGAAGGCGUCGGGCAGGAUACUCUGAGUGAUGCUGGUGAGCCAAAUGGAGGCUUUGCUCUGGUUAUUAAUGGACACUCCUUGGUUUGGGCUCUCAGUCCCAAGUUUGAGCAGCUCUUCCUGGAAGUUGCCAGUCAGUGUAAAUCCGUUAUUUGCUGUAGAGUGACACCCUUGCAAAAAGCCUUGGUUGUUGAUUUGGUGAAACGCUACAAGAAAGCAGUGACUCUGGCAGUGGGUGAUGGAGCCAAUGACGUGUCAAUGAUUAAAACUGCUCACAUUGGAGUAGGCAUAUCUGGCCAGGAGGGCUUGCAAGCAGUCUUGGCAUCGGAUUAUUCAGUGGCGCAGUUCCGUUUUCUUGAGAGACUGUUGCUGGUGCAUGGCCGUUGGUCCUACUACCGGAUGUGCAAGUUCCUUAGAUACUUCUUCUACAAAAACUUUGCUUUCACUUUGUGCCACUUUUGGUUUGCCUUCUUUGUGGCAUUCUCAGCACAGACACUGUUUGAUCCCAUGUUUAUAUCAGUCUAUAAUCUGUUCUACACAUCGAUGCCUGUGUUGGCUCUCGGCAUCUUUGAACAAGAUGUCAAUGCAGUGAAUAGUAUCAAGUUUCCUCGUCUCUACGGCCCUGGCCUCAGCAAUGCUCUGUUUAAUAAACGAGAAUUCUUCAGAUCUGCCCUUCAUGGAUUUCUAACCUCUUGUGUCCUGUUCUUCAUACCUUUUGGUGCAUACUACAAUGGCAUGGAUCAGGAUGGCCGUAGCAUGGCUGAUCAACAGACAUUUGGCAGUGUUGUAGCAACAAUUCUUGUCAUUGUAGUCACUGUACAAAUUUGUUUGGAUACAUCAUAUUGGACCAUGUUCAACCACAUCACCAUAUGGGGAUCUCUCAUCUUUUACUUUCUGCUGCAAUACUUCUACAACUUUGUCAUCGGUGGUGAAUAUGUUGGAGCUCUAGCAAAGGCCAUGGGUGAGCCAAUGUUCUACUUUACCUCGCUCCUAACUAUUGUGGUGCUGAUGCUGCCUGUGAUGGCGUGGCGCUUCUACUGGGUGGAUGUCCACCCCACUCUUUCCGACAAGGUGAGGUUUAAACAGCGCCAUGAUGCAAAGAUGGCAAGCAAGAGAUCUGACCAUGACAUGCUUCGCACUCCAUCGGCAAGAAGAUCACGGCGAUCCAUCCGCUCGGGUUAUGCAUUUGCCCACCAGGAAGGGUUUGGCCGCCUCAUCACAAGUGGGAAAAUCAUGCGGCCGAGACAUCCAAAGCCUGGCGCCAUGUCCAAUGGCCGAGCCUCAAAUCUUCGUCCAGAUGCCAACAGAGUUUCAAUGGUGGCACCAGCACCCUCUACGGUGGAGGUGUAAUGAUCACCUUUUGUACUUAUCAGUUGUGAAUGUGUGUGUGUGCGCCUGUAUAUAUAAUAUAUUGUGGUGAUGAAAUAAUGUUUGGGGAUAUUUAUUUGAAUCUGCCACUGGUGCCAAUAGUUUGAUUUAGGAAACUAGAAAACACUUAGUAAAUACAAUUCUUUUAUUAAUACAGUAUUUGAAAGUUAUUUUCUUAAUAGCUUAUGUGAACCUAGGUGAUAAAGGCAGAGCCUUAAUAUUCUUGUAAAUGGAGAAACGUCUGUGUGAGAGGAAAUAUCAAAGAAAAAUGAAAUUCAGAAAAGUGAACUUCAGAUGAAGACAAUAGUGAUACAGUUAAGAAAAGAAAGAGAAAAGUGUUUGAAGACUUAUGCAUAGAAUGCCAAGCUUUAUUUUUUUUUUUUUUUAUCCCAAAAUGGAAAGCUAAGAUUGCCUUGACUUGUACUUAGGCCACGAUGGAGGUGCCACUAGGUGCUCCCUUCUCAUAAGUGUACUUAUGCUAGAUUUCUCAGGUUUUCUUUCUUUUAUAUGAUUUUUUCUUUUUUGAAGUUAUUAUUUAUUUUCUUUAGAUUUUUUUUUCUCAAUCAACUAAUUGUUUUUCUCAUGCAUAUGUCCAUCUUUGUGGUGGAAGUGUUGGGCAAGGAACAAUGUGUGGUGGCUUUUGUGGGUUGUUCUUGUUCCUUUUGUGAUUUUUUUUUUUUUUUUUUUUUUUUUUUUGCUUUCUAACUUUUUCAUGAAAGAUGUACAUUUGUAGGUAUUCGUUAAGGUAAUGGAAUUCCAUAUGUGCUGAUUGAUAUACAUUCACAUGUAAUCUGAUGAUGUACAUGUUAAAACAUAUAAUACAUCCAUACAGUUUACAUUUUUUAUACACAAAUUCCAACUUAAAAUUUCUUACAGAAAAAGAAUACACAUUUACAUUUUCCAGCUAGUCAUUGUUCUUUCAUUUCACAAACCACUAUGCAAUAAUUGUACAUUAAAGCUACCAGUGGAAUAGCGGCGACACUAUGCAUAAGCUCAUUUUCACAAAUUCAACCCUAUCCAAGACUCCCCUUUCUUUCAGUAUAUCUAGGGAUUGUUUUGCAACUGUGGAGAAUCUUACAAACUUAGUUUAGUUUUUGAGAGAGAUAAAAGUCUGUUAUAGCCUUCUUUUGGCUCCCAUUGGUCCUUCUUACUUUUGUCACAAAUACUGACUUCUCUGAUUUUUGUGCAUGGAUUUCGUUUCUUGCACCUUCUGCUGUAUUUGUUUGAGCUGUAACAUUUUUGCACUCCCUCUUGUGCAUGUACUCAUACUUGCAUUUAUAUUCACUCACAAUCACGUUUACAUUCCAGCUCACAUUCACAUUAACACUCAUACUUUAACAGAAACACACACACACACACACACACACACACACACACACACACACACACACACACACACACACACACUCACUCACUCACUCACUCACUCACUCACUCACUCACUCACUCACUCACU
Molecule: unclassified non-coding RNA, 6149 nt
Filed under: Penaeus monodon (black tiger shrimp)
Lineage: Eukaryota; Metazoa; Arthropoda; Malacostraca; Decapoda; Penaeidae
Description: probable phospholipid-transporting ATPase IM, transcript variant X4
Source: RNAcentral